RNAcentral lists this ribosomal RNA (1048 nucleotides) under Salmonella enterica subsp. enterica serovar Dublin. RNAcentral describes it as "bacterial SSU rRNA". It matches the Rfam family "Bacterial small subunit ribosomal RNA", at positions 65 to 1102 of the family's 1533-position model. Lineage: Bacteria; Pseudomonadati; Pseudomonadota; Gammaproteobacteria; Enterobacterales; Enterobacteriaceae. The record is from RNAcentral.
AACGGUAACAGGAAGCAGCUUGCUGCUUUGCUGACGAGUGGCGGACGGGUGAGUAAUGUCUGGGAAACUGCCUGAUGGAGGGGGAUAACUACUGGAAACGGUGGCUAAUACCGCAUAACGUCGCAAGACCAAAGAGGGGGACCUUCGGGCCUCUUGCCAUCAGAUGUGCCCAGAUGGGAUUAGCUUGUUGGUGAGGUAACGGCUCACCAAGGCGACGAUCCCUAGCUGGUCUGAGAGGAUGACCAGCCACACUGGAACUGAGACACGGUCCAGACUCCUACGGGAGGCAGCAGUGGGGAAUAUUGCACAAUGGGCGCAAGCCUGAUGCAGCCAUGCCGCGUGUAUGAAGAAGGCCUUCGGGUUGUAAAGUACUUUCAGCGGGGAGGAAGGUGUUGUGGUUAAUAACCGCAGCAAUUGACGUUACCCGCAGAAGAAGCACCGGCUAACUCCGUGCCAGCAGCCGCGGUAAUACGGAGGGUGCAAGCGUUAAUCGGAAUUACUGGGCGUAAAGCGCACGCAGGCGGUCUGUCAAGUCGGAUGUGAAAUCCCCGGGCUCAACCUGGGAACUGCAUUCGAAACUGGCAGGCUUGAGUCUUGUAGAGGGGGGUAGAAUUCCAGGUGUAGCGGUGAAAUGCGUAGAGAUCUGGAGGAAUACCGGUGGCGAAGGCGGCCCCCUGGACAAAGACUGACGCUCAGGUGCGAAAGCGUGGGGAGCAAACAGGAUUAGAUACCCUGGUAGUCCACGCCGUAAACGAUGUCUACUUGGAGGUUGUGCCCUUGAGGCGUGGCUUCCGGAGCUAACGCGUUAAGUAGACCGCCUGGGGAGUACGGCCGCAAGGUUAAAACUCAAAUGAAUUGACGGGGGCCCGCACAAGCGGUGGAGCAUGUGGUUUAAUUCGAUGCAACGCGAAGAACCUUACCUGGUCUUGACAUCCACAGAAGAAUCCAGAGAUGGAUUUGUGCCUUCGGGAACUGUGAGACAGGUGCUGCAUGGCUGUCGUCAGCUCGUGUUGUGAAAUGUUGGGUUAAGUCCCGCAACGAGCGCAAC